ACGCUCGACACCUACGGGGGCAGCAGUGGGGAAUAUUGCACAAUGGGGGAAACCCUGAUGCAGCGACGCCGCGUGAGCGAAGAAGUAUUUCGGUAUGUAAAGCUCUAUCAGCAGGGAAGAAAAUGACGGUACCUGACUAAGAAGCCCCGGCUAACUACGUGCCAGCACGCCGGACGGUAAUCUGGAGGCCGGGCGUGGACGAAGGC
This 206-nucleotide ribosomal RNA is filed under the name uncultured bacterium. RNAcentral describes it as "partial 16S ribosomal RNA". It matches the Rfam family "Bacterial small subunit ribosomal RNA", at positions 328 to 538 of the family's 1533-position model. The record is from RNAcentral.